This 320-nucleotide long non-coding RNA is filed under the name Carica papaya (papaya). Its description in RNAcentral is "long non-coding RNA (CPAP_LNC007780)". Lineage: Eukaryota; Viridiplantae; Streptophyta; Magnoliopsida; Brassicales; Caricaceae. The record is from RNAcentral.
UAAUAUUACACCGAUUAAGCAUAUAUUUUAUUUUGUCUUAUAAGUAAAACAGUAUUUUACAAUUUUACGACUCUUAUGAUCAUUGAACCUCAAGAAAGUAAUUGCCAUAUAUUUGUUCAAAAUUUGUGUGGAAUUGAAUUUUCAAUAUUGGAUUUCUUGCAAUAUACUUAAUUUCUUUCCAAACUGCCUGCAUUAUUUCAAUAUUGACAAUUUCAGGUCAUAUAUUAUUUCAGUGUUUUAUUAUAAUUUUGGUAAAAUGUUGGUAGAAAUGAUUGUUUGUGAAUUUGGGUAUCAAUAAAUACAUGUAAAUAUAAUGGUUU